GGUUAAGCGACUAAGCGUACACGGUGGAUGCCUAGGCAGUCAGAGGCGAUGAAGGACGUGCUAAUCUGCGAUAAGCGUCGGUAAGGUGAUAUGAACCGUUAUAACCGACGAUUUCCGAAUGGGGAAACCCAGUGUGAUUCGUCACACUAUCGUUAAGUGAAUACAUAGCUUAACGAAGCGAACCAGGGGAACUGAAACAUCUAAGUACCCUGAGGAAAAGAAAUCAACCGAGAUUCCCCCAGUAGCGGCGAGCGAACGGGGAGCAGCCCAGAGUCUGAAUCAGCAUGUGUGUCAGUGGAAGCGUCUGGAAAGUCGCAGGGUACAGGGUGAUACUCCCGUACACGAAGAUGCAUUUGCUGUGAACUCGAAGAGUAGGGCGGGACACGUGGUAUCCUGUCUGAAUAUGGGGGGACCAUCCUCCAAGGCUAAAUACUCCUGACUGACCGAUAGUGAACCAGUACCGUGAGGGAAAGGCGAAAAGAACCCCGGCGAGGGGAGUGAAAAAGAACCUGAAACCGUGUACGUACAAGCAGUGGGAGCCUUCGUGAUGUGACUGCGUACCUUUUGUAUAAUGGGUCAGCGACUUAUAUUCUGUAGCAAGGUUAACCGUAUAGGGGAGCCGAAGGGAAACCGAGUCUUAACUGGGCGUUAAGUUGCAGGGUAUAGACCCGAAACCCGGUGAUCUAGCCAUGGGCAGGUUGAAGGUUGGGUAACACUAACUGGAGGACCGAACCGACUAAUGUUGAAAAAUUAGCGGAUGACUUGUGGCUGGGGGUGAAAGGCCAAUCAAACCGGGAGAUAGCUGGUUCUCCCCGAAAGCUAUUUAGGUAGCGCCUCGUGAAUUCAUCUCCGGGGGUAGAGCACUGUUUCGGCUAGGGGGCCAUCCCGGCUUACCAACCCGAUGCAAACUGCGAAUACCGGAGAAUGUUAUCACGGGAGACACACGGCGGGUGCUAACGUCCGUCGUGAAGAGGGAAACAACCCAGACCGCCAGCUAAGGUCCCAAAGUCAUGGUUAAGUGGGAAACGAUGUGGGAAGGCACAGACAGCCAGGAUGUUGGCUUAGAAGCAGCCAUCAUUUAAAGAAAGCGUAAUAGCUCACUGGUCGAGUCGGCCUGCGCGGAAGAUGUAACGGGGCUAAACCAUGCACCGAAGCUGCGGCAGCGAC
RNAcentral lists this ribosomal RNA (1167 nucleotides) under Leclercia tamurae. RNAcentral describes it as "partial 23S ribosomal RNA". It matches the Rfam family "Bacterial large subunit ribosomal RNA", at positions 1 to 1212 of the family's 2925-position model. The record is from RNAcentral. Lineage: Bacteria; Pseudomonadati; Pseudomonadota; Gammaproteobacteria; Enterobacterales; Enterobacteriaceae.